Molecule: ribosomal RNA, 500 nt
Filed under: uncultured bacterium
Lineage: Bacteria
Description: partial 16S ribosomal RNA
Rfam family: Bacterial small subunit ribosomal RNA
Source: RNAcentral
AUUGAACGCUGGCGGCAUGCCUUACACAUGCAAGUCGAACGGCAGCACGGGAGCAAUCCUGGUGGCGAGUGGCGAACGGGUGAGUAAAGUAUCGGAACGUGCCCAGUCGUGGGGGAUAACGUAGCGAAAGUUACGCUAAUACCGCAUACGAUCUAUGGAUGAAAGCGGGGGAUCGGAAGACCUAGCGUGAUUGGUGCGGCCGACAGCAGAUUAGGUAGUUGGUGGGGUAAAGGCUCACCAAGCCGACGAUCUGUAGCUGGUCUGAGAGGACGACCAGCCACACUGGGACUGAGACACGGCCCAGACUCCUACGGGAGGCAGCAGUGGGGAAUUUUGGACAAUGGGCGAAAGCCUGAUCCAGCCAUGCCGCGUGCAGGAUGAAGGCCUUCGGGUUGUAAACUGCUUUUGUACGGAACGAAAAGGUUUGGCCUAAUAAGCUGAGCUCAUGACGGUACCGUAAGAAUAAGCACCGGCUAACUACGUGCCAGCCGCCGCCGUAA